Molecule: non-coding RNA, 72 nt
Organism: Phrynosoma platyrhinos (Desert horned lizard)
Lineage: Eukaryota; Metazoa; Chordata; Lepidosauria; Squamata; Phrynosomatidae
Source: the annotation of a GenBank genome assembly
GCCAACGCGGCAUAGUGGUUUGUGCAUUGGACUACAAGUCUGGAGACCUGGGUUCGAAUUCCCGCUCAGCCA